Long non-coding RNA from Artibeus jamaicensis (Jamaican fruit-eating bat), 268 nucleotides. RefSeq lists it as uncharacterized. NCBI's taxonomy places the organism in Eukaryota, Metazoa, Chordata, Mammalia, Chiroptera, Phyllostomidae. The record is from RefSeq and is a predicted model, not a curated record. The transcript is spliced from 3 exons.
GAAUGACAAUGGGACUUAGGAGGGCCUAACCGGGAUCCCUGCGGCAAAGGAGAACCGUGGCUUCCAGAGUUCCAGCUCCUGCAUCAGAAAACAGAGGGAAACCGAGAGAUGACGUUUUGCGAGUCAGCACCCUUUACCCUUUUGGCUAUUAACAACCUAUCUACACCUGUCUCCGCAUAAUUAAAUUUCCAUGCAACCAUAAAACAGCUUUCUGCUUCCACUGAAAAAGUUUCUGCUAUUGGAUUUCAGCCCCGGAUCAAUCAAAAAC